GCCCGGAUGGUGGAAUCGGUAGACACAAGGGAUUUAAAAUCCCUCGGCGUUCGCGCUUUGCGGGUUCAAGUCCCGCUCCGGGUACCA
Molecule: transfer RNA, 87 nt
Filed under: Escherichia coli
Lineage: Bacteria; Pseudomonadati; Pseudomonadota; Gammaproteobacteria; Enterobacterales; Enterobacteriaceae
Also listed under: 1 other name
Description: tRNA-Leu
Rfam family: tRNA
About the family: Transfer RNA (tRNA) molecules are approximately 80 nucleotides in length. Their secondary structure includes four short double-helical elements and three loops (D, anti-codon, and T loops). Further hydrogen bonds mediate the characteristic L-shaped molecular structure. tRNAs have two regions of fundamental functional importance: the anti-codon, which is responsible for specific mRNA codon recognition, and the 3' end, to which the tRNAs corresponding amino acid is attached (by aminoacyl-tRNA synthetases). tRNAs cope with the degeneracy of the genetic code in two manners: having more than one tRNA (with a specific anti-codon) for a particular amino acid; and 'wobble' base-pairing, i.e. permitting non-standard base-pairing at the 3rd anti-codon position.
Source: RNAcentral